Ribosomal RNA from Vicugna pacos (alpaca), 112 nucleotides. NCBI's taxonomy places the organism in Eukaryota, Metazoa, Chordata, Mammalia, Artiodactyla, Camelidae. The record is from Ensembl.
UAAGGCCGUACCACCCUGAACGCGCCCGAUCUCGUCUGAUCUCGGAAGCUAAGCAGGGUCAGGCCUGGUUAGUACUUGGAUGGGAGAAAUCACAGGUCUGGCACUGCCUGAU